ACCUACUUAACUCAGUGUUAGAGUAUUGCUUUCAUACGGCGAUCAUGUUCAAUCCAAUAGUAGGUA
Molecule: small RNA, 66 nt
Filed under: Salix viminalis (osier)
Lineage: Eukaryota; Viridiplantae; Streptophyta; Magnoliopsida; Malpighiales; Salicaceae
Rfam family: tRNA
About the family: Transfer RNA (tRNA) molecules are approximately 80 nucleotides in length. Their secondary structure includes four short double-helical elements and three loops (D, anti-codon, and T loops).
Source: RNAcentral